UGAGUGCGAGCUGCUACGGCAGCGAAGUUGGUGACGUCAUGCUUCCAAGAAAAGCCCUAUACCCGUUAAGGCAUCAUGGCCUGUACCCGAAACCGACACAGGUGGGGUGGUAGAGAAUACCGAGGGGCGCGAGGUAACUCUCUCUAAGGAACUCGGCAAAAUGGCCCCGUAACUUCGGGAGAAGGGGUGCCACCGCAAGGUGGUCGCAGUGAAGAGGCCCAGGCGACUGUUUACCAAAAACACAGGUCUCCGCUAGGUCGCAAGACGAUGUAUGGGGGCUGACGCCUGCCCAGUGCCGGAAGGUUAAGGAAGCUGGUCAGCGCAAGCGAAGCUAGCGACUGAAGCCCCGGUGAACGGCGGCCGUAACAAUAACGGUCCUAAGGUAGCGAAAUUCCUUGUCGGGUAAGUUCCGACCCGCACGAAAGGCGUAACGAUCUGGGCGCUGUCUCGGAGAGAGGCUCGGCGAAAUAGAAUUGUCUGUGAAGAUGCGGACUACGUGCACCCGGACAGAAAGACCCUAUGAAGCUCUACUGUAGCUUGGUAUUGUGCCCGGGCUCGCAAUGCGCAGGAUAGGUGGGAGGCUUUGAUCAUCGGCUUGCGGGUCGAUGUGAGCCAACGGUGAGAUACCACUCUUUGCGAGCUAGGGUUCUAACGGCCACCCGUCAUCCGGGGGCCGGACAGUACCUGGUGGGCAGUUUGACUGGGGCGGUCGCCUCCUAAAAGGUAACGGAGGCGCGCAAAGGUUUGCUCAGGCUGGUUGGAAAUCAGCCGACGAGUGUAAAAGCAGAAGCAAGCUUGACUGUGAGACCAACAAGUCGAACAGGGAGGAAACUCGGCUUUAGUGAUCCGACGGUUCUGAGUGGAAGGGCCGUCGCUCAACGGAUAAAAGUUACUCUAGGGAUAACAGGCUGAUCUCCCCCAAGAGUUCACAUCGACGGGGGGGUUUGGCACCUCGAUGUCGGCUCAUCGCAACCUGGGGCUGAAGUCGGUCCCAAGGGUUGGGCUGUUCGCCCAUUAAAGCGGUACGCGAGCUGGGUUCAGAACGUCGUGAGACAGUUCGGUCAUAUCCGGUGCACGCGCAGGAAUAUUGAGAGGAUUUCUCCCUAGUACGAGAGGACCGGGAGGAACGCACCUCUGGUGUACCAGUUAUCGUGCCAACGGUAAACGCUGGGUAGCCAUGUGCGGAGUGGAUAACCGCUGAAAGCAUCUAAGUGGGAAGCCCACCUCAAGAUGAGUAUUCCCAUGGCGUAAGCCAGUAAGGUCACGGGAAGAACACCCGUUGAUAGGCUCUAUGUGGAAGCGCAGUAAUGCGUGAAGCAGAGGAGUACUAAUAGACCGAGGGCUUGACA
This 1349-nucleotide ribosomal RNA is filed under the name metagenome. Its description in RNAcentral is "bacterial LSU rRNA". It matches the Rfam family "Bacterial large subunit ribosomal RNA", at positions 1564 to 2925 of the family's 2925-position model. The record is from RNAcentral.